This 861-nucleotide long non-coding RNA is filed under the name Homo sapiens (human). RNAcentral's name for it is "PPP1R3B divergent transcript". The record is from RNAcentral. Lineage: Eukaryota; Metazoa; Chordata; Mammalia; Primates; Hominidae.
ACUCCAGGGCAGCAUCCAGCUGGUGACCUGAGAGGGCAGUGGCGCACCAGUCUCCAUGAAGGUUGAGCUCCGAUGGCCAACAGCCAUUUCCACCUUGUGGUCUACAACUCUUCAUCCCGACUGCAUGGAGGUUGGUCUCUCUCUUCAGCUGGAUUUAGGCCACCAUCUGAGCCCCCGGGGUACGUUUUGUCUGACCCUGGCGCCAUUCGAACGGUUCUUCUACAGCAUCAGUUCUCUUUCCUGCCACCAUGUGAAGAAGGACAUGUUUGCUUCCCCUUCUGCCAUGAAUGGACAGGGUCCUGCUGUGUUGCCCAGGCUGGCCUUGAACUCCUGGCUUCAAACAGUCUUCCCACUUGGGCUCCCAAAGUGCUGGGAUUAAAGGGGCGAGUUACAGCACCAGGACCUGAAAUUAGAGACAGGGUUUCACCGUGUUAGCCAGGAUGGUCUCCAUCUUCUGACCUCGUGAUCCGCCUGCCUCGGCCUCCCAAAGUGCUGGGAUUACCGGCGUGAGCCAGCAUCACCCCCCAGCAAAAGCAUCAUGUGUCAUUCUCACAGCUGUUAGGACUUCAAUGAUGUUAUAAGGAAGUUGGGGCUCAGAGAAGCUACAGAACUUACCCAAGGACACACAGCCAUCACGAAAAACAUGGCCAGCAAAGCAGGUGAGGCAAAGAUCAGGAAGGACAUUAAACGCCAAACUAAGGAGCGGAACUGAAUGAGCAGUGAAGGGGAACAAUGGCUUCAGCAGGUCCACUGGGCUCCUCUUUUCUGUCAGCCUCCCCCUACCCCUCACCUCUGUACUACUCAUGUUACUAUCUACGUCUCUUCACCAAUGUCAUUGUGGAAAUAAAAGCUUAUCUGUAA